CACAGAGGCAGUACCACAGAAUGUGUUGAGCAAACUGAAGAGGAAGAUCUCACCACAAAGAAAGGACACUAUUCAUGUCCUGACAAUGGAGAGUUCCUUCUGGAAAAUAAAAAAAAGACACAGAUGCCUCAUCACGACAUCGUUCAGUGAGACAUUCUUCCAAUGGUAAAGCUGCCCAGAAAAGGCGACCCUUGACACAGAAAGAGGUGAAGGCUGUGGAGAAGUACAUGACGCGAUUCAUUCCUUCUGGUAUUGUACCAGGAAAGAGUGACUUUGAAAUGUUUGAGGGCCGAACCGGAAGCUCUCCAAAACCGGGAAUGGGAAGCAUUGAAGUUCUAUGUGUACAACCGCAUUAUGGCCGACAAAAGGACAAAGCUAAAAUAGUAGAUUAAAAGAUAUUAAGCAAGA
This is a long non-coding RNA of Nerophis ophidion (straightnose pipefish), 408 nucleotides long. RefSeq lists it as uncharacterized. NCBI's taxonomy places the organism in Eukaryota, Metazoa, Chordata, Actinopteri, Syngnathiformes, Syngnathidae. The transcript has 3 exons. The record is from RefSeq and is a predicted model, not a curated record.